CCGGCACGGGCGAGUAACACGUAUCCAACCUGCCGUCUACUCUUGGACAGCCUUCUGAAAGGAAGAUUAAUACAAGAUGGCAUCAUGAGUCCGCAUGUUCACAUGAUUAAAGGUAUUCCGGUAGACGAUGGGGAUGCGUUCCAUUAGAUAGUAGGCGGGGUAACGGCCCACCUAGUCUUCGAUGGAUAGGGGUUCUGAGAGGAAGGUCCCCCACAUUGGAACUGAGACACGGUCCAA
This 237-nucleotide ribosomal RNA is filed under the name uncultured bacterium. RNAcentral's name for it is "partial 16S ribosomal RNA". It matches the Rfam family "Bacterial small subunit ribosomal RNA", at positions 100 to 334 of the family's 1533-position model. The record is from RNAcentral.